Molecule: transfer RNA, 73 nt
Filed under: Ovis aries (sheep)
Lineage: Eukaryota; Metazoa; Chordata; Mammalia; Artiodactyla; Bovidae
Rfam family: tRNA
About the family: Transfer RNA (tRNA) molecules are approximately 80 nucleotides in length.
Source: Rfam by way of RNAcentral
UCCCUGGUGGUUCAGUGGUUAAGACUCUACACUUUCAAUGCAGCGGGUGCAGGUUUGAUGCCUGGUUGGGGAA